UUUUUUUUUUUUGAAAAAAAAAGAAGAAAAGAAAGCAUUGAAUAUAAAAUGUGCAGUUACAACUCAUCCUUGUACAUAAUAGACAUAAAACAACCUACUCAGAAUUUAGGCAGCGCAGCACAGUUGAUCAUCAAAAUGCACGACUAUACACCCUUGAGACAGCAAAUAUGCUAUUCCCAAGCUGGACCAGCUGCAAAAAAAAUGUGCCUCACUUGUGAAAGAACAGACUCUUUUUCUUCC
RNAcentral lists this unclassified non-coding RNA (240 nucleotides) under Hevea brasiliensis (rubber tree). Lineage: Eukaryota; Viridiplantae; Streptophyta; Magnoliopsida; Malpighiales; Euphorbiaceae. The record is from RNAcentral.